Molecule: long non-coding RNA, 224 nt
Filed under: Capsicum annuum
Lineage: Eukaryota; Viridiplantae; Streptophyta; Magnoliopsida; Solanales; Solanaceae
Description: long non-coding RNA (CANN_LNC002578)
Source: RNAcentral
AUUUGUAUUCGAAUGUCGUCUUUCGCCAUGACAUUUGGUUAUGAAGAUGCCUUAACAGCCCAUGCUAUCCAUUUUUGUUGUACGUAUUGCGUGAUGUGAUAGGGUCGCUUGAAGCAUUGACAAAGCCAGAAUUUUUAUUAAAGGGGUUCAAAAUAUGAAGAGGUAAGCACGUGAAGAAACCUAGAGAUUCAACAUCUACUAUAAGUACAUAAAAAAUAAUUUUG